Molecule: ribosomal RNA, 381 nt
Filed under: uncultured Glomus
Lineage: Eukaryota; Fungi; Glomeromycota; Glomeromycetes; Glomerales; Glomeraceae
Description: SSU rRNA
Rfam family: Eukaryotic small subunit ribosomal RNA
Source: RNAcentral
GGCAGCCGCGGUAAUUCCAGCUCCAAUAGCGUAUAUUAAAGUUGUUGCAGUUAAAAAGCUCGUAGUUGAAUUUCGGGAUUAAAGAAUCGGACAUGCCUUGGUAUGUACUGGUUUUAUUGGUUCUCACCUUCUAAAGAACCAUGAUGUCAUUCAUUUGAUGUUAUGGGGAAUUAGGACUGUUACCUUGAAAAAAUUACAGUGUUUAAAGCAAGCUUACGCUUGAAUACAUUAACAUGGAAUAAUGAAAUAGGACAUCAGAUUCUAUUUUGUUGGUUUCUAGGAUCGAUGUAAUGAUUAAUAGGGAUAGUUGGGGGCAUUAUUAUUCAAUUGUCAGAGGUGAAAUUCUUGGAUUUAUUGAAGACUAACUACUGCGAAAGCAUU